Molecule: small RNA, 611 nt
Filed under: Pongo abelii (Sumatran orangutan)
Lineage: Eukaryota; Metazoa; Chordata; Mammalia; Primates; Hominidae
Description: processed transcript
Source: RNAcentral
CCUACUGGAAGCCUUCCUAACUCUAUAGCUGGUAAAGUAGAGCAGAAAGGGCCAGAAUGGCUUAAGAUGGAGCUAAAUUCCUAUAGCAUUCCAUUUUCUGCUCUUGCCUCUUGAACUUAGAAGGCUUGCCCAUAUAUCCUAACAAUCUGUUCUCUGAGCUGCUAGAAGGCCAAUCCCUGGCAAGAGAUAUUGAUGUAGUCACUGAAUCUAUUGCUCACAAAUAAUUGAAAAUUGGCUUUGGGAGCUGGGCACAGUGACUCAUGCCUGUAAUCCCAGCACUUUGGGAGGCUGGGGCAGGUGGAUCCCUUGAGGUCAGGAGUUCGAGACCAGCCUGGCCAACAUGGAGAAACUCCAUCUCCACUAAAAAUACAAAAGUAGCCGGGUGUGGUGGCGCAUGCCUGUAAUCCCAGCUACUUGGGAAGCUGAGGCAGGAGAAUCACUUGAACCUGGGAGGUGGAGGUUGCAGUGAGCCAAGAUCACGCCAUUGCACUCCAGCCUGGGUAACAAGAGUGAAACUCUGCCUCAAAAAAAAACACCAAAAGAUGUUUUUCAUUUUUUUCAUGUUAUCUAUCCAAGCACUGUCCCAUGGUCAGCAAGUCAUAUUUCACAAU